Molecule: long non-coding RNA, 985 nt
Organism: Quercus robur (English oak)
Lineage: Eukaryota; Viridiplantae; Streptophyta; Magnoliopsida; Fagales; Fagaceae
Exons: 2
Source: RefSeq, a predicted model, not a curated record
CAGGAAGUAGGCCAUAACUUUCAAUUUCUUCUCUUCAUUUUUUCUUUCCAAAAUUAGCUGCUAACUUGAGUUUUGGAGUACUCAUUGCCGCCUAGCGUGGCAUUAUGCCCUUCUUGGCUUGACCCUAGCUAUGUUGGACUUCAGUAGAGCUUCUUUCCCAUAGAGCCAUGUCCCUUGAAUUCCCAGGCCCAGCCCUCAACUGCAUGGGCCGGAGAGCAUUGGUACCAGACCAUUUCUCUUGCGAGUCGAUUAGCUUCUUUUUUAUAGUUUUUUAUUAUCAAACCAAGGCACCAAUCAGUUUUUGGUGUAGGCGGAGAUUGAAUCACAAAUCUCUUAUUCAACCAUCAGAGACUCUACCAGUUUAAGUACUUCAUGUUUGGCAGAAGGGUGGGACUGGCUGCUGCUGUGCGUCUCCCAAUAUAUGCUGUAGAAUCUAUCAAUGUCUAACCGACAGAAAUUCUUGCAGUGAAGGCUGAUUCCUUCGAGUAUCUUAACCAUGUUAAUGGAAUUUCCAAGUUUCAACAGCUCUAGGUUUUUCCACUUACGUAUGAGUUUUGGCAAAGCAAAUGAAGAAUUGUCCCAUAUUGCAGGUGGAAAAUACAGAGCCUUCAACGCAGGGCACCUGGAAACAAUGAAAUGCAUCAAUGACAAAACUAGAAAUGGCACUCUUCAAUAUGUAUUAGCAAGAUCUGCUAAAAGUCUAUACUAUGACCUCAAUAGACAAGAUAUGUAACGCAAUAAAAGCAGCAUCUGCUGAGGUGAAUGUGGAACACAUUGACAAUAUUACGAACACACUCAAUUUCGCUACAUGCUAAACUAGUUAAUUGUGAGUGGUGGGUCUAUUAAUCCAUGUAAAUAGUAGCAAACAGAAAGUGUCGAUUACUCAUAGUCGAAUACUUCAACAUGUUGUGAAAUUGGGUAUCCCUAUAUUUAUUGGAAAUGUCGAUGCCUUACAAACUCAAAAAGGCUAUAAUUUUUAGUGAUA